AAUGGUCUGUAGUUUUAUUAUA
This 22-nucleotide unclassified non-coding RNA is filed under the name Mus musculus (house mouse). RNAcentral's name for it is "oocyte_clustered_small_RNA3118". Lineage: Eukaryota; Metazoa; Chordata; Mammalia; Rodentia; Muridae. The record is from RNAcentral.